ACCUCGGACUCCCGAGUUAUAUUACUUGUGCGAUUCUCCUGCACUUGGGAGAGCAGUUUUAUUUUUGCACCAAUGAGAUCACGCCGUGGACGAUGAAGUUAAUCCGAAGAAGGGGUAAGGAUGGAGGCUGAGAAGAUCUCAGACGCUAGGAUUUGAGGUUGGGAACGGAUGGAUUGGUUUUAUUCGUGGGAGAUGAAGAUGUUGAGAUUCAGCUGGGAGAAAGUCACGGUUGCUGGGAUUUGAAGAAGGGAUAAGAAUGCAAGCGGAUGGAUUGGUUCGGAAGAUGAUCCUUGAAUCGCGGACGAUGCAGAUGAAAUCUGGGAAGAGAUGACGCUGGGACUUUGCUGGCUCUGUUCUUUGGGACAAAGUUGAUUACGAGGAAGGGGAGAUAAGCUGGAGGACUUGUUUGGAUGAGGGGAGUUUGGAUUUGUUCUUUGGACAUGGAAGAUUAGGUUAUCUUGUUACAAGGUGAGGACGUGGGCAUGGGAAGGCUGGAUGCUGAGAAGGUGAACGUGUGAAGAAAGGAAAAGAAUUUGAUGAAGUACAGUGUUGGUUUAAGCAUUAUUCAAUUGGAUUAGACUUGACCUGUAUACAUAAGGCUCAAUCAAUAAAUAAUCAAAUCAAACUUGAAUUACCUUUGAUAAUUUAUUAAAAUGCAAUAGUGGAGGUAACACAUUUUUUAUGGUUAAAUUUACAAAAUAUGUGUAUUAAAAUUAUGAUAAGUACAAUGAGAAAAAGGAUAAUUUAUGUAUUAUUUAGCACUUAUCAGCUGGCUAACUUCAUAUAUAGUCCCUUUUCUUUGAGAACUCGGGGGUGCUUGACGAGCGGAGGAGGCAUGGUGGAGAGAAUUUUCAUUAAGGUUUUGAAACAUCUGCCAUGCCUCAUGCUCACUCUUAUGCAUAAAAGUUUCCCCACACGAAGCAUCAACCAUCUGACGGUUUUGUUCAGAUAACCCGUCAUAAAAGUAUUGCACUAAUUGCCAUUUGGGUAUUUGAUGGUGCGGGUUUUUUCGGAGUAAGUCUCUAAAUUUUUUUCAGGUUUCAUGAAAUUCUUUUCCGUCAGAUUGGGAGAAGCUCGUGAUC
This 1082-nucleotide long non-coding RNA is filed under the name Phoenix dactylifera (date palm). Its description in RNAcentral is "long non-coding RNA (PDAC_LNC001342)". The record is from RNAcentral. Lineage: Eukaryota; Viridiplantae; Streptophyta; Magnoliopsida; Arecales; Arecaceae.